UGCCUCUCCUUCCCUCCCUGCUCCGCAGGCACAGCACGGGAUCAGCAGGGAGGGGCGGCUCUGUCGUGGAGGAUCCAGGAGCUCGGCGUGCGUGUCUGAGCCUGCAGCUGCGAGCCGCAGCAGGACCCAAGGUCUGCACACGCCUGUGUACAGAAGAAUGAUGCGAGAACGGAAAAGUUGCAAUGGCAUUGCAGUUCCCUGCACAGAAAAUAGCCAGGGAGGUGAAGCAGGGCCAAGUGGUGCCGUUCGACUGCGCCCCGACUGGGAGCAUCAGGUUCAUUCCCAUUGUGAUCUGCAAAUGGCAAAUCAGGGUUGCUCUUUGUUAAAACCAAAAGCGCUCUCAGAAUGUUGAUGGAGGUGAUGAUUGCAGGGGCGAUGCUUCUGGAGAAUAGCUCCCCCAUCUUCCCCAGGGCCUGGGCAGAGAGAGGUGGAGCUCGGAGUCCCCCCAGUCCUCCCGCGGGUGUCGGCGUCUGCAGCGCCAUCGGGACGGGAUCCACGGCGCAGCUCCCUCCUCCAGAGGCCGAAAGCUCAGCCUCCAGUUUCGUGCAGGGUGAUCACCUUUCCAGGGCAAUACAAGCACUUCCCAAGAGCAGCUGGUGAAGAUGGCGCAGAAGCAAGGACAAGGGUGCAGUGAAAAGUUUGGUGCAUCGAUCCAGCCUCCGGACACGUGAUCUUCUACCCUGCCCCACGGCAAGAAGAGUUUGGUGAUUUUGCUGCUCUGCUCUCUCAAGGGUGUUGCAGGCUGCGUAGCAGGGAGUGAAGCCCUUGUCGCUGCUCAUCAGACACUUUCCUACAGAAUUCUCCCUGCAGUGAUAAAAUUAGACUGGUGUUAGUGAGCUGCCAAGUAGAGCAGGUAACAUUGGACAAGAAUGGUUUCUGAGCUGCUGUUCACUAGCACGUGUUUCCCCUUUCCAGCGCGGUGCCGCCGCCCAAGAAAGGAUUUUUGUGGGUCAGCCAGAUGUGCUCCUGCCUCCCACUGAGGCUCUGAGAUGGAGCCGAGUUUGCAUUCCAGUUUAUUGCAACAGAGGGUCACGGGAAAUUUCCUCAGCUAGCUCAGGCACAGAGCCAUGGAAGCAAGUAAGCCUGAGCUCCUGCGUGCUUGCUGUGAGCCUUGAGACGAGUGUGCAUCAUUGCAGGCUUGGAAUUUAUU
Long non-coding RNA from Haemorhous mexicanus (house finch), 1150 nucleotides. RefSeq lists it as uncharacterized. NCBI's taxonomy places the organism in Eukaryota, Metazoa, Chordata, Aves, Passeriformes, Fringillidae. The transcript is spliced from 4 exons. The record is from RefSeq and is a predicted model, not a curated record.